Drosophila innubila is the source of this 965-nucleotide long non-coding RNA. RefSeq lists it as uncharacterized. NCBI's taxonomy places the organism in Eukaryota, Metazoa, Arthropoda, Insecta, Diptera, Drosophilidae. The transcript is spliced from 2 exons. The record is from RefSeq and is a predicted model, not a curated record.
UUGUGUAAAAUAACUUGUUGAAUAAAUUGAAAUUGUUAAAUUUGUUUCAUUGUACUCGGAAAUGUAAAUUCCGUCAGAGAAUGAAGAUAAUGUUCUGAUGAAGUCAGUCUUUUUGAGCAUUCAGAAAAGAACGGUCGCAAAAUGUUGUGUAACACAUUUUGUAUAUUCUUUAUGAAAAAUUUAAAUAAAUAAAUUUGUCUCAUUAUAUUCGGAAAUUGGAAUUGCGUCAGAGAAUGAAGAUAAUGUUAUGAUGAAUAUUAUCUUCAUUCUCUGAAGCAAUUCACCUUACCGAAUAUAGUGAGACAAAUUUAUUUAAUUCAAUUUAUUAUAAAGACUAUAUAAAAUGUUUUACACAACAUUUUGCGACCGAUCUUUUCCGAAUGCUAGAGAAGACUGACUGAAUAAAGAGAAUCUUUAUUCUCUGACGCAAUUCACCUCUCCGAAUACAAUGAAACAAAUUUAUUUAUUUCAAUAAAUGUCCAAAUUUCCGGGUUAAGAACGGAGCUGGAUAAUCCCGGAAAGUUUAAGGAUGGACUUGUGAAAGCAAUGGAUCUUCAACUUCUUAGAGCGGAGCAGGCUACAGGGAAAGUUGAUAGAUGAACUUGUCAAGGCGACGGUCUUUAAAGUGCUUAGAGAGUAGCGGAGCUGGAAUGACAAACCAAAGAUCGGUUUGAGUCGCUUUGAACGGACAAUCAAUCUCUCAGAGUGGAGUUGGAAAUGGAGAAUAGAGAUGGAGCGGAUACGGAUUUCGAGUCUCAACUACAUAAAUGUACUAAGGCCAAGACAAGCAGGAUCUACAACUUACUUCUCAUUAACUUUACCGCCAGAAAGUGAAAAUUUCACUAUAUAAUAUCUUGUUUUUAGCUAUUUUUGUAAUUGAAAAAGCUAUAUAAGCUAACAAGAGCUUAACAAUUAUGAAACUAUAAAUUUUAAUAUAAUAUACAAUCUUGUGAAUAUGGCUAAAA